GGCAGCUGGACUUUCUGGUUUUUCUUUGAAGAUGUUUUGCUCAUGGGUGAAACAGAGUGAUCUUUUCUGGUAUAGGUAUACAUGAAUCUAGCCUGCAACACAAAAUGAAAGAAGACAAAAGGAAUUUAAAAAGAGCACUCCGGACACCCAAACAGAAUGUGGUUUGUCUUUGGUUCUGACAAUUUCCAUCGUGACUUAGUAACUCCAAUUUAAAAGUUCUGCUCUGCUCUGUUCUGAUCCACAAAAUAUUGUUGGAACUGAAUCUAUGAGUAUCGGAUAAACAACUGAAAACAAUUGGAGCUUUAUAUAUGCUGAGUACAAGAAUUUAAUAGGCACAAAAAUGGAAAGAAGAGUCAAUGGAAGAAUGGAAUGAAAAAGUGAAAACAUGAUGGAAUUGGCAGAGAUGAGGAUGAUGAGUGCAGAAGCAGUGUGCUCAAGAUCAGCUGGCCAGUGGGGAAGAAGGGCAGGAAACACAACUGACAUUCGGGAGGCGAGAGCGAGCUGACACCAAUGCAGGGUCACAUUGUGGCUCCAUGUCGUAAUGGGCUCCAGGAGGAGGGUAUCUCACCUCAUCCAUUGUGAAGCGUGCUAAAUUUCACUGUGCUGCGCAAGGUGCUGUGAGAGCAGCAGACAGGCCAUGGAGGCAGCAACAGCAAAUGUACCACAACAAAGGCGGAAUGCUGUUUUGCACAUAUUUUUUAGUUCCCACAAACUUUUGUUUCCUGAAAACAAUGGCUAGAAAUGUGACGGAGAAAUGUGAUGGAGCUGGGCUGGGGCAACAACAUGUGUGCUACAGAGAGUGCCACCUCUGUGUCACCUCUAGCAUGUGUGCCAUAGGUUCACCACCACUGUCCUGAUGUUUAAAGCAGAGUACCUAUCUUUCGUUCCGACCUGUUUUGCUUAUAUCACUGUAUCAUAAUCAUAAUGGCAUCAUUCAUCUUAAAUGCUUCCUCAGAUAGAACCCUAACCUCAGCAAGAAAAUCACUACUUUUAAAAAACAUCUCACAGAUGUUGAAUCAAAGUCAUUUUGCAUUGCAAUCUAAUUCCAAUGUAUAUUUAUAUUUUUAGAUUAAUCAAUAGCAUGCUAUGCUUCCAGCUAAUCAUUACUACUAAUAUACUAUAAGAAUAAUAUAAGGAAUGAUGAUACAACCAAGAUGUAGCAAUAAAAGGCAAACUUUGAGAAUGCUACAGAGUAUAUUUAGGAAGGAAAACACAUUUAUGUCAUUUAGGAAGGAAAGCACAUUUAGUUAUUGAUUUGGUUAUUGAUCCAGUUCCUGAUCCCAAUACAAUAAUCAUAGCAAUCAAUGGAGAAAACUUGGCAUUCCCUUAAUUUAAAAAACCAGAAAUAAAUUCUAGCAAAGAUAUUUCUGUAUACUACCCCAUGCAUGCAUUUCAGCACAAAACUGGACUCAACAUUUUCAUUCUAUAAUUGCCUGCAUACUGAACCAACAACAGCUUCUAUUUAAUUAUAUUAUCAGAGUAGCCAGCUAUCACAAAAUCUUAGUGUAAGGAACUUAUUUCAACCCUAUCCCGGACAGUGUAUGUCUGAUACCUCUAAAAAUGAAUGAUUCCUGGUAGAUCACCAUCGUGAUUAAACUUUUCUUAGAAAUCGAUAAAAGCAUCUCACCUAGAAACAAAGUAUAUUGUGUUCAAUGUUUAAAAAGGGCAAAAGACAAGAACCUGCUAAUUAUAAUUAAUCUGCCAGUUAUUUUUCUAAGCUUUAGACGAGACAUCUGAAUAAAUUGGAAGUUUGGGAGGAAGAAACAAAAUUCUUCAUUCCAGAGAAGGCUGGAUUUCAAAAAGAACAAACUCAGUGUAUGUGUGUGCCACUUUGAAGGUUCUAUUUUAAAAAUAUAUCAGGGAACUUACAAAACAAUUCUAUGCAUUUAUUGCUAUUAUCUUUGUCAUUGAUUCAACUUGACUAUGGAAAAAAACCACACUGAAAACAGUGAUCCAUAGGCACCUUCUGAAAUAUAUUGAUAUUACAGGAGAGUAAAAAUGAGCCCACAACAAUCUUGGUCAGAUUCAAGCAGCAUUGUUUACUGAUGUCCUUAUUUAACUUUUGCAUGAAUGACAUUGCAUCCCAUUCACUUAAUGGAGGAAACAUUCUAAUGUUAAUGUACGUUCAUGAUAUGGGUCUCACAAUAAUGUCUUUAUUUAGAUAAACAGUACACUUAUAUGUUUAUGCAUAAGCAUCACUUCACAUGAGUAAUUCAUCAUUAAAACUUAAGAUUCAUACAUGAAGCAAUAUAAUUGAAGAUCUAUUUCUCAGCUUGGUUCAUGAUUGUAUGUAUAUGUUUGCAGAGAUAAACAAGAUAAAACCUUGUACUGCAGUACAAAUCCCACCCUUUUAGUGCUUGAUCAUGAUACUGUCCU
Long non-coding RNA from Thamnophis elegans (Western terrestrial garter snake), 2376 nucleotides. RefSeq lists it as uncharacterized. The record is from RefSeq and is a predicted model, not a curated record. The transcript is spliced from 4 exons. NCBI's taxonomy places the organism in Eukaryota, Metazoa, Chordata, Lepidosauria, Squamata, Natricidae.